Molecule: ribosomal RNA, 492 nt
Filed under: uncultured bacterium
Lineage: Bacteria
Description: partial 16S ribosomal RNA
Rfam family: Bacterial small subunit ribosomal RNA
Source: RNAcentral
AGUGAACGCUGGCGGUAGGCCUAACACAUGCAAGUCGAACGGCAGCACAGUAAGAGCUUGCUCUUACGGGUGGCGAGUGGCGGACGGGUGAGGAAUAUAUCGGAAUCUACUUUUUCGUGGGGGAUAACGUAGGGAAACUUACGCUAAUACCGCAUACGACCUACGGGGGAAAGCAGGGGAUCUUCGGACCUUGCGCGAUUGAAUGAGCCGAUGUCGGAUUAGCUAGUUGGCGGGGUAAAGGCCCACUAAGGCGACGAUCCGUAGCUGGUGUGAGAGGAUGAUCAGCCACACUGGAGCUGAGACACGGUCCAGACUCCUACGGGAGGCAGCAGUGGGGAAUAUUGGCCAAUGGGCGCAAGCCUGAUCCAGCCAUACCGCGUGGGUGAAGAAGGCCUUCGGGUUGUAAAGCCCUUUUGUUGGGAAAGAAAAGCAGCAGGUUAAUACCCCGCUGUUCUGACGGUACCCAAAGAAUAAGCACCGGCUAACUUCGUG